RNAcentral lists this unclassified non-coding RNA (341 nucleotides) under Hevea brasiliensis (rubber tree). Lineage: Eukaryota; Viridiplantae; Streptophyta; Magnoliopsida; Malpighiales; Euphorbiaceae. The record is from RNAcentral.
GUCGGUAAGGAAGAAGAGCGGAAUUGAAAAUACGAGGGGCGGUAAAGAAACCCUAAACCAUGCUUCUAGGGUUUCGAAUUCCGACAACGUCUGCUAUUAGAAUCAGCUGAACGCAACUUUUUACAUCCGAAGAAGAUGACCGACGACAAUGGAAAACCGGAUAAGGGUAAUCAAUGGCAAUCGUCAAGACCACCAAACCAAGAGAAAGCGGAGGACAUGAAACUCUGGGGAAUUCUUCUUUUCGGUCUGAUCGGUGCCUCUGCCACCACUCUCGCCGUUGGUCAGCUGCGGAGAACUGUUGAUUGGGUAUAUACUCAGUUGAGCAGGUCACAAUCAUCAUG